Molecule: long non-coding RNA, 2257 nt
Organism: Oncorhynchus gorbuscha (pink salmon)
Lineage: Eukaryota; Metazoa; Chordata; Actinopteri; Salmoniformes; Salmonidae
Exons: 3
Source: RefSeq, a predicted model, not a curated record
AGAAAACAGGUCAACAACUCUUUCAUGUUGUCUUCUUGCCUUGAUGCGCAAAGCUUUUCCAUAAAUAGAAAAUACAACUGUGAUGUGCACUGUAGUUAAACAGACAGCUAGCUAUGGUUGCUAGCUAACGUUAGCUACUUCAAAAGUUUCCUAAGAUAACACGCUUAGCUGGCUGUCAACCUAGAGUAAAUCACUCACCCAGCUCAAGAUGCGGACUAUGGUUUGAGGUUGUUUAACAAAGCUCAUAAAAUCGAAGUCACCUCCGGACAGCGAGGCCCCAUAGGCACCAGAUUCCAUUUUUUAUAUAUAUUUUUUUAUGCCGAUUAAUAUGUCCCAACUUCAGCUAGAAAAUGACUAUGCGCAGGUCUCAUUUGUGAGGUUUUGUUUUCACUCUCAUUUCCUGAAGAGUUAAAGAACCGCCCCGGACAAUGACCACGUCAUCUCUAGGAGUACUGCUACUCUCACAGUAACCUUAUGGCCAUAGUGUUCAGUAUUGUCACAUUAUCACACAUUUUCAAAGGGUUUGUACAAAAUCAAUAAGCAUCUUUCCUCUCUCUAUGUGGCUGUGUCUCCUUACACACACCCCAUUGUGUACACAAUGGCUUGUAUCUUUAUUAACUUGUUAUCAACUUCAUUUUCACAAGCUUUGAGAAUAAUAGAUAGGCUUAUGUAGCCUAGUGGCUGACAUUAUGGUGUAGAAGAGAGGAAGAUAAAGUAUAAUUCUGGCUAUAGUGUAUAAUAUAUAAUUCAUCGUUAUUGUCAAGGCUAUAGCUCAUCAUCAAGGCAGUGUUUGCAAUUAAACCCCUAGGAACAACCACCUUCCAUAGGCUAUGAUGGUGGCAUCCACAGGAGGUUGGUGGCACCUUAAUUGUGGAGGACAGGCUCAUGGUAAUGGCUGGAGCAGAGUUGGUGGAAUGGUAUCAAAUACAUCCAGCACAUGGUUUCCAUGGUUUCCAUGUGUUUGAUGCCAUUCCAUUUACUCCGUUCCAGACAUUAUUAUGGUCUGUCCUUCCCUCAGCAGCCUCAACUGGCCUCCCAAUCAGCAUGCUACCUUUUGAUUGGGACACAGGCUGUGUAAUGUGCUUUGGACAUGAAAACAUUGCACAUUGACCACCAAAUAGAAAACAUUUAUUGGUGUUGUUGUGAGGUCUGCAUAUCACUGUUAUUCACGUCAAUAUUUUAGAUUCUCUAAUAUCGUCUCAAACAACUGCCAUCAUAUCCCACUAAACUUCAUUCAUAAUGUAGGUUUACCACUAGAGGGCAGCAGAAGCACACACAAGGCAUUCCUGCUGUGAGAGACAGACCGUUUAUUAUGAAUUAUAUAUUCACUUCAUUUUAUUCUUUAGUGAUGUGCCAAUGCAUUUUAGUUGUGCACCACUGUAAUGCAGGAUUGCAAUUAGAAUGUUACAUUGACUUACAAAAUGUAUUCAAACUGUCUAGAAUAAACUUGACAUUCAUUUGGAAAUAUUUUAUUAACGUUUUCGAAACUUUUCGCAUAAUGAACACACCUCUAAUGAGGAGAAUGUAUUUAAUUGGUUGAAUCUGCGCCAGAGAAAGCCGCUCGAGCUUAAAGUUGAUUGGUGAUUUGGGGCUGUGCAGUCUUGAAAAAAUGAAGUCUUCAGAAAUGUUCCUCUGAAUUCCUGUUGAAGAAGUUCCUGAUAACAUGUGAACAUGGCACAUUGUCUGUGGUGAGGAUCUUUGGGAGGAUGGAGGACGGAGGAAGCAGUACACUAGUGGUCUGUGGGAGGAACCACUUCCUCUAUAGUCUUCUUUUGAUUGUGACACAACCCUUCCGUCAGUCUUUUCUUCUUCAUAUUUUGGGUUUGGUAGAUAAUGAGUUGAGAGUGUAAGUUGGUCAGACAAAGUCCUAACUCCUAAACCCACCCACUAAGAGCUCCUAAUAGUUCCCUCUCCUGGGAGCUGGAAGACAAGACUGGGACGAUGCACUAACUACAGUAUAUACCACAACAGUACCUCUGUUCCACCAAUCCUGUCUUCUUGGUGUGCUCCCCUAUGCUUCUGUCUGUGAUUGGAAAAGGGUAAGUCCAUGAUCCAGACAGACAGGUGUGGCCCCACAGAGUGAAGACCAGGAGGAUGGCAUACAGUGUGGACUUCAAUCUGAGACCUAUAAUGGAGCUUGAAUUAGAGAGUCUUAGGGGUGAUGAUACGGCCCAGGACUCUAUAACGGGAACAGGUCUGGAGAGUGGCAGUCGUGAAACCCUGGAAAUGGAGGUCCUUACAACAGAAGGCAGAGGUA